Molecule: ribosomal RNA, 449 nt
Filed under: uncultured organism
Description: partial 16S ribosomal RNA
Rfam family: Bacterial small subunit ribosomal RNA
Source: RNAcentral
UACACUCCUGCGGGAGGCAGCAGUGGGGAAUAUUGGACAAUGGGCGCAAGCCUGAUCCAGCCAUGCCUCGUGAGUGAUGAAGGCCCUAGGGUUGUAAAGCUCUUUCACCGGAGAAGAUAAUGACGGUAUCCGGAGAAGAAGCCCCGGCUAACUUCGUGCCAGCAGCCGCGGUAAUACGAAGGGGGCUAGCGUUGUUCGGAAUUACUGGGCGUAAAGCGCACGUAGGCGGAUCGAUCAGUCAGGGGUGAAAUCCCAGGGCUCAACCCUGGAACUGCCUUUGAUACUGUCGAUCUGGAGUAUGGAAGAGGUGAGUGGAAUUCCGAGUGUAGAGGUGAAAUUCGUAGAUAUUCGGAGGAACACCAGUGGCGAAGGCGGCUCACUGGUCCAUUACUGACGCUGAGGUGCGAAAGCGUGGGGAGCAAACAGGAUUAGAAACCCUUGUAGUCCCA